RNAcentral lists this non-coding RNA (106 nucleotides) under Niastella koreensis. RNAcentral's name for it is "TPP sequence". It matches the Rfam family "TPP riboswitch aptamer (THI element)". From Rfam's summary of the family: Vitamin B(1) in its active form thiamin pyrophosphate (TPP) is an essential coenzyme that is synthesised by coupling of pyrimidine and thiazole moieties in bacteria. The record is from RNAcentral. Lineage: Bacteria; Pseudomonadati; Bacteroidota; Chitinophagia; Chitinophagales; Chitinophagaceae.
UUCAGUUUCCCGGGGUGCUCUCCCGCUAAUGGCAGGAUUGCUGAGAACAGACCCGUAGAACCUGAUCAGGGUAAUGCCUGCGCAGGGAAGGUAGCUCCGUAUUUGU